Molecule: long non-coding RNA, 1371 nt
Filed under: Citrus x clementina
Lineage: Eukaryota; Viridiplantae; Streptophyta; Magnoliopsida; Sapindales; Rutaceae
Description: Citrus clementina (C. clementina) long non-coding RNA (CCLE_LNC003073)
Source: RNAcentral
AAAAUAACUUAUUUAAUUUUCAAAAACUCUAUUAAAAAAACUAAACAAUAAUAAAAAUAAACACUUACAAUUGUUAAAUAAGUCAUACCAAACAGUAUAAGUUUUUUUUUUAAAUUUUUGCUGAUUUUUAUACAGUGUCUUGCAUUCCAAUUUCAUUUGGUAGAAAUUAAUUAACUUGUAAACGCACCAUUAAUUAGCUUGUCAAGGUUUGUAUUAGAUAGAAAUUGGAUGAAAAAAAAUUGAUAGUUAUGCAGAACAAUUGAUUGAAAAAACUCACCUCCCAGGACGUAGUCGGGUUGGUUGCAAUGUAGUUGUAAUCUCUACUAAAACCUAGGUUCGAUUCUUGGGAAUGAUAAAGGGUUAAAAAAAUUAUAUUUGAGCUUACUCACCCCCUACCUUUAAAAAAAUUAAAAAUUAACAAUUGGCUGAAAAAACUCAAGAAAGAAAGGUCCGUGGAGCAUCAAAAAGUGUAAGAAAUUUCCCCAUUUUACCGGAGGGAAUGUAUCAAUUGUUUAAUUAGCUAGGAUCCUAUAUUCAAAAUAAAAUAAAAUAAAAUAAAAUAGAGAUGCUGUACAGAAUAUUCUUAUCUAUUGGCAAGAUUGCGGUUUAAUAAAGUUGGGGGCAAUCAUGUCAAUUCGUGUAGAUAUAUUUAUUUCGAUUUUGGAACAUCCAGAGGCAUGGGUCACGAGUUAAAAGCAAAAAAAAAAGGGGGUUCUAAAAUAAAAAAAGAAAUGAAAACUUGUAACAGUUAAAAUCACACGUGUGAUGAUGGCAUGGCACGGUAGGUAAUGUAACGAUGAUCAGUUACGUGUGACGUGCGUUGAUGUGUCCCACUUUCGGCUGACGCAUCUAUUUACUGACAAACCGACGGAUCGUCUGCUUGGAGUUGUAAAGGAAGGUGCCGUGCCAUUCCUUACUCGCAAGCAGCAGUUGGAAUCCUAUGAAUUUUGGGUUCCUAAAGUUGGUAACCCGAUAUUUAUAUUAUAUACUUUUUUUCUUUCAAUCUAUUGUUGAAAAUCAAAUCUUACUUUAGAUAUUAGAUUGAAUUUUUUUUUCUCUUUUACCAACAAAAGAAUAUGAUAUAUAAUAUUAUUUGAAAGCUCCUACUUGAUGCUAAAUCCGCAUCUUAAUGAAGAUAGUUUCUAAUAAGUGGAUCCAAAGUGAUAUAAAAUCAUGAGUUUUCAUUUUCUUGAAAAAACAACCACAAUAUUAAUUUUUUUAUUUUUUAUCAUUUUAUAAUUAAUUACCAAUAACUAACUCCGUCUAUAUUUUAAAUAAAAAAGGACACUUACACAUUUAAGAUUUGGAGAAAUAGUCAUAUAAAUCCCUAAGUUUUCAGUAAUGGAUAUCAGGAUAUCUUUUUCACUAUAA